RNAcentral lists this long non-coding RNA (1938 nucleotides) under Homo sapiens (human). RNAcentral describes it as "HSALNT0267578". The record is from RNAcentral. Lineage: Eukaryota; Metazoa; Chordata; Mammalia; Primates; Hominidae.
UGUGGGAAUGGGGGAGUGGUGGAUGAGGGGGGUGCAAUUAAUGUGGCCUUUGUACAGAGCCCAUUACAAAUGGGUGGGAUUGGUUAUGUGCACAAGGUGGUUUUUAGGUAUGUGGAUGAGGGGAAAAGGAGAUCCCUGAGCCUCAUCAGAAAUAUAAAAAGAAAUUAUAACAUCAUUUGAGAUACAUGAAAGUUAAGCAGAAAAGGGAGAGUGGAAUGAAAUUCUCAAAAAAGAAAGCAAGUGUAGUAGUGCAAUAUUGCUGUGAUAAUACUGCAUGACAAGCAACCCUCACGAUAACAACCAUUUUUUUUCUUGCUCAUAGAUCUGUGGGUUGACUGUGUUGGCUCUGCUUCAGGCUAAGGGAAAGGUUCAGGUUUCCUCCAGUUGUUUCUCAUGUUGGGACCAGUGCCAACGGAGCAUGUUUAUCUUACGGUGGAUGGCAGAAGUGCAGGAAUGAAAGCCUCUGCUCCUAUCAUGUCUGCUUAGAUCCUAUUGGCCAAAUCAAGUCCCAUGCCUGAGCCCAACAACAGUGGUGUGGGGGAAGUAAACUCUUCCAAAUCUAGAGGCAGGUACUUACCACAAAAAAGUGGACAUAUGAUUUCUUUUCUUUGAGACAGGGUCUUACUCUGUUGCCCAAGCUGGAGUGCAGUGUUACAUCAUAGCUCUUUGCAGCCUCAAAUUCCUGGGCUCAAACUGUUCUCCCACCUCAGUCUCCCAAAGUGCUGCGAUUACAGGCAUGAGUCACCACACCUGGCCGUAUUAUUCUUUUAUACGGAGUGAAGAAUUGGGAAUAAAAUCCCAAUCUACCACCGCAGGAGAAGUCACAGAGAAAAAUACAGUCAGAGGAGGGGGUUCCUAUGAGUGUCCAGUCUCCAGCCAUGAUGACAUUAUCCCUUCAGACUACCUGAUCCUUUUGGGCUGCACUGAUACUCACCAAGGACCCUCCCUCCAACUCCACUCAUUAUUUCAUUUCACAAGUUCAGUUUUUUCCCCAUGUUCUCUUCUUUCCUCAUCUUUUCUUCCCCCCAAUCCUAUCUAAUAUCAGCCAGUAGAAUUAUCUUUCUUAGUAUCUACUUGGAUUGGGUCCCUAUAUCCAGGUAGAGACAGUGAGAAAAGCUAGUGAUUACUCUUUUCUUAGACAUGAACACCUGGACAUUCCCCAGUUGGUGGUUUAACUUCUCCCUCUUUGUUCCUCCAUUUAUUUUUUAAAAUAUUUAAGGAAGUCAAUGACUUACAGAACCUUUCAUGGGCACUUGGAUUAAAGAGAUACAAGAGGCAUAGUCCUUAUACUCCAGGAAAGAAGACCUGGAAUGUCUUACCUGAUGGCCUGGCAUUAAACAUGCCAGGACAGAGGGAUGUGCAGGAGGCUGUGAAAAUACACAAAAGCAUUGUGAGUUUGGAAGAGAGGGAAUGGAGAGGACUCUGAUUUUACCCCUACCUAUCCUUCCAGGAUGAUUCCUGGCACACAGCUCUCUGUCUCAGACCCGUUAAAUACAAUUAUUAGUGUGGUUAUUGUUUAUCUGCCUUUGCCAGUAGGCUGUAAACUCCGUGCACUUAGGGAUGUGCCUAUUUUGUUCAUUUUUGUUGUCUUAGUCCUUUUGGGCUUCUGUAACACAAUACCACAGCCUGGGUACCUUAUAAACAACAAUUUAUUUCUCAUGGUUUGGGAGUCUGAGAAGUCCAAGAUCAAGGCACCAACAGAUGUGAUAUCUGGGGAGGGACUGCUUUCUGGCUCUCAGAUGGCACCUUCGCUCUGUGUCCUCACAUGGUGGAAGGGGCAAGGCAGCUCUCUGUGGCCCCUUUCAUAAGGGCACUAAUCCCAUUAAUGAGGGUGAAACCCUCAUGACCUAAGCACUCCCAAAAGCCCCACCUCCUAAUAUUGUCACAUUGGCAAUGAGGCUUCAACAUAUGAGUUUGAGGGGGACAGCAGCAUUCAAA